CCGCAAAGCGGUUGUAGCGCCUGAUAAGUAAGAUUCCUCUUAUACCUGAAUGUUCUACUGCAAGAAGUGUGGCGCGCUGGAGUUACAUGGGACGAUGAAAUUCCGCAUAACCUACAAGAAAAAUGGAAGGAAUGGUUAGCCUGCUUACCUCACCUGCAAACGGAAAAGAUCCCACGAUGCUACCAAUCUCCAACUAACGCGACGGGUGGCAUAAUACAACUUCACGUGUUUGUGUACGCCGGAAAGGAUGGCUUUGCCGCGGUGGCUUACUUCCGCUUUGAAGCAGAUGGAAAACGGGAAGUAGCUUUGAUUGACGCCAAAACUCGAGUGGCUCCGAUCAAGUACACCUCCAUUCCUCGGUUGGAGUUACAAGCGGCCGUUUUGGGUGUUCGUUUGAUGAAGGCAACAGAAGCAGCUCACCGUUUGAAAGCUGAUCGACGUUUUUUCUGGACGGACUCGAAGGACGUGUUGUGUUGGCUGAAUUCGGAUCAUAGGAAAUAGCACACCGAGUCGGCGAGAUCUUGGAAAACUCAUCUGUACAGGAAUGGAACUGGGUACCAACGAACGACAAUGUAGCUGACGAAGGUACUAAAUGGGCGAACCUUCAUCGACACUUCGCUACGGAAAACUGGUUCAAAGGACCUAGCUUUCUGCAACAGCCGGAAGAGGAUUGGCAUCUUCAAUCGUUCGAGCACGCGGCGACAGAAGAGGAAAGGUGUCAGACAGAUAACCUGCAUGGUCAACUGAGUCCAGUACUUCAGUUCGAGAGAUUUUCGCUGUGGAAGCGGUUACAUCGCGCUGUAGCAUAUGUUUGGCGCUUCAUCAACAAUGCAAGACAGCCCACAGAGUCUCGAACAUACAGACCCCUUACUCACACCGAAUAUCAACUGGCUGAGCGAUCGAUCUUCAAAGAGGUCCAAAAACAAGAAUUUCCGGAUGAGUACCGUCUAUUUCUUGAAGAAAAAACAGGCGUAAAACCUCUUUCACCAUUCCUUGACUCCUCG
Long non-coding RNA from Anopheles stephensi (Asian malaria mosquito), 1004 nucleotides. RefSeq lists it as uncharacterized. The record is from RefSeq and is a predicted model, not a curated record. Lineage: Eukaryota; Metazoa; Arthropoda; Insecta; Diptera; Culicidae. The transcript is spliced from 3 exons.